GCAAAUCUAGCCACAACCAUGGAGGCCAGGCAGUGGUGGCACACACCUUUAAUUCCAGCAGCCACACUAUUUAGCCAUGGAAGCCAGAAAGUGGUGGCACAGAUCUUUAAUCCCAGGAUUCAGGAGACAGAGGCAGAUGGAUGUCUGUGAGCUCAAGGCCACCCAGGGCUACAUGAGAGUCAAUCAGUCUACAAGAGAAACAGCUCAUGCCUUUCAUCCCAGCACUAGCCAGGAACAUACAUAAGAUAGGAGCAGGGUCUCAGAGCUGGCAAUUAGUCUCCAGCCAGGUUGAGGAUUUUGGUGGAGAGCAUUGCAGUCUACGCAGUCUGAAGAGCAGUGCAGUUUGGAGAUGUAAUCAGAGGACAUGAUCACCCCUUCAGUCUGAGCAUUGGGAGAGGUAAGAACUGUCUAGUGGCUGGCCACUUUGCUUCUCUGUUUUUCAGCUUUAACCCCAAUAUCUGUCUCUGGGUUUUUAUUAUUCAUGCUACAAAGCUUCCUGCUUUUCCAGAGUACUUAACAAAAUAGCAUCUGUGUGUUUCAUUGGGGCAGAGAAGGGUGGUGGGACCAGUCAAGCCAGAAAAACCUCAAGUAACAAAAUGGCACCAGCAACGUUUGGCAUGAAUUUCCACUUAAAACUCGACAAAAUUUAAAAAGGGAUAAAGAAAAAAAAAUGAAGAACUUCCCAAGCUCUUCCUUGAUUUCCUCAAUAUCUUUUGAUGAGACAGGAUCUGAAGAGUCGAGCAAGCUGUCCCACCAGCCGGUGCUGCUGUUCCUCGGGGACCCAUACGUCUUGCCUGCAGCCAGUGAUUUUCCAAAUGUGGUCAUCGAAGGAGUUCUUCAUGGAAUAUUUUACUCUCACCUGAAGCUCAGGUUCCUUUUCACUGGCAUCAUGUAUGGAUUAAUGUGAGUUUGGUGUUUGCUGCUGUCUCUCCACUGGAUGUCACACAGAUGGUCAUCUUUUGCUCAGUGACAGAGCCCAGCGUGUGUCCCACCUGUGUGUAUGUGCUGAUGAACAACCUACUUGUGGUUAUGGAUUUUCAUAAAUUUAAAUGUUGGAGAAAAUAUUGACAAUUGAAAGUACCAUGUCAUGAAUUUUUAUUAGAGCCCAAACCUACAGAUUGAAACCCUGCUGCAAACCUUUAAAAGAUACAUUUUUAUGAUUGAUUGUGUAAUUACAUGUUAGGAAUAAAGUAAUCAAGUGUUAUCAGCAUAAAACAUAACUAAAUGGUGAAGUAUUAUAGAUACUUUUUAAUGUUUUUUUGUUACUAGCUAUUUUGAGUUAAAUAAAAACAAAUAAAAAAAAAGAAUCUUCCUGACUCAGCAUAAGUGGCAAAAAAAAAAAAAGCAAGGCUCUUUUAAGGGGCCCUGCUAACA
This 1374-nucleotide long non-coding RNA is filed under the name Cricetulus griseus (Chinese hamster). RNAcentral describes it as "lncRNA (ENSCGRG00000026666.1)". Lineage: Eukaryota; Metazoa; Chordata; Mammalia; Rodentia; Cricetidae. The record is from RNAcentral.